UGUCUGGGUUAACAGCUUAUGCUGGUUUUUAUGAGGUUGGUGCUCCUAAGAAAGGAGAUUAUGUGUUCGUUUCAGCAGCUUCUGGUGCAGUUGGUCAGCUUGUUGGCCAAUUCGCAAAGUUGUCAGGUUGUUAUGUGGUUGGAAGUGCUGGAAGCAAAGAAAAAGUGAGCUCCAUUCGAUGAUUUUUCUUCCCUUGACUGUAAUGUUUUUCUUUUAUCUGAUUUUACUUUGUCCAUUUUAAGGUUGAUUUGUUGAAGAACAAGUUUGGAUUCGACGAGGCUUUCAAUUACAAUGAAGAACAGGACUUGGAUGCAGCUUUGAAAAGGUACUUUCUUCUUUCUAUUAUUGAGAUUGAAACAUAAUACACACCAUUACAAAGAAUUAAUCAAACCCAAUUGUUGGAAAAAUGCAGAUAUUUUCCUCAAGGAAUCGAUAUAUAUUUUGAAAAUGUUGGUGGUAAGAUGCUGGAAGCAGUUCUGCUGAAUAUGAAAUUUGGGGGACGCAUUGCUAUGUGUGGAUUGAUGUCGGAAUAUGGGUUAGACAAGGUUUAUGGAGUAAAAAAUCUAACGCAAAUAGUUUACAAAAGCCUCCGCGUGGAAGGAUUUCUAGUUGCCAAUUACCUGCACCUAAUUCCUAAGUACCACGAAAUGAUAAUACCAAAAAUAAAAGAAGGGAAGAUUGUUUAUGUUGAAGAUAUUGCCGACGGUAUAGAAAGCGGUCCGGCGGCU
This 728-nucleotide long non-coding RNA is filed under the name Jatropha curcas. RNAcentral describes it as "long non-coding RNA (JCUR_LNC001124)". Lineage: Eukaryota; Viridiplantae; Streptophyta; Magnoliopsida; Malpighiales; Euphorbiaceae. The record is from RNAcentral.